RNAcentral lists this ribosomal RNA (1480 nucleotides) under uncultured bacterium. RNAcentral describes it as "partial 16S ribosomal RNA". It matches the Rfam family "Bacterial small subunit ribosomal RNA". The record is from RNAcentral.
AGAGUUUGAUCAUGGCUCAGGACGAACGCUGGCGGCGCGCUUAACACAUGCAAGUCGUGCGGUACCGAUGGCAAGUCUUCUUGACGAGCCUUCGGUAUAGCGGCGGACGGGUGAGUAACACGUGAGUAGCUGUCCUAGGGAGGGGGAUAACGCCUGGAAACGGGUGCUAAAACCCCAUAAGCCUCGAAAGAGGUAAAAGUGCAUCACUGCAGUCCUAGGGUGUGCUCGCGGCCUAUCAGCUAGUUGGUGAGGUAAGGGCUCACCAAGGCCAAGACGGGUAGCCGGCCUGAGAGGGUGUACGGCCACACUGGAAUUGAGAUACGGUCCAGACUCCUACGGGAGGCAGCAGUGGGGAAUUUUGGGCAAUGGGCGAAAGCCUGACCCAGCGACGCCGCGUUGGGGAUGAAGUCCUUCGGGGCGUAAACCCAUGUUGUAGGGGAAGAAGAAAGUGACGGUACCCUACGAGAAAGCCCCGGCCAACUACGUGCCAGCAGCCGCGGUAAAACGUAGGGGGCGAGCGUUAAUCGGAAUUACUGGGCGUAAAGCGUGCGCAGGCGGAUUAUUAAGCAAGACGUGAAAGCCCCGGGCUUAACCUGGGAAUGGCGUUUUGAACUGGUAGUCUAGAGUGCGUCAGAGGGGGGUGGAAUUCCACGUGUAGCAGUGAAAUGCGUAGAGAUGUGGAGGAACACCAAUGGCGAAGGCAGCCCCCUGGGAUGACACUGACGCUCAUGUACGAAAGCGUGGGUAGCAAACAGGAUUAGAUACCCUGGUAGUCCACGCCCUAAACGACGUCAACUGGUUGUUGGGGGAGUGAAAUCCCUUAGUAACGAAGCUAACGUGUGAAGUUGACCGCCUGGGGAGUACGGUCGCAAGAUUAAAACUCAAAGGAAUUGACGGGGACCCGCACAAGCGGUGGAUGAUGUGGAUUAAUUCGAUGCAACGCGAAAAACCUUACCUACCCUUGACACGUCCGGAAUCCUGCAGAGAUGCGGGAGUGCCCGAAAGGGAAUCGGAACACAGGUGCUGCAUGGCUGUCGUCAGCUCGUGUCGUGAGAUGUUGGGUUAAGUCCCGCAACGAGCGCAACCCUUAUCAUUAGUUGCUACGCAAGGGCACUCUAAUGAGACUGCCGGUGACAAACCGGAGGAAGGUGGGGAUGACGUCAAGUCCUCAUGGCCCUUAUGGGUAGGGCUUCACACGUCAUACAAUGGUCGGUACAGAGGGUUGCCAAGCCGCGAGGUGGAGCCAAUCCCAGAAAGCCGAUCGUAGUCCGGAUUGUUCUCUGCAACUCGAGAGCAUGAAGUCGGAAUCGCUAGUAAUCGCGGAUCAGCAUGUCGCGGUGAAUACGUUCCCGGGUCUUGUACACACCGCCCGUCACACCAUGGGAGUGGAAUCUGGCAGAAGUAGGUAGCCUAACCGCAAGGAGGGCGCUUACCAUGCUGGGUUUCAUGACUGGGGUGAAGUCGUAACAAGGUAACCGUA